Molecule: transfer RNA, 84 nt
Filed under: Shigella flexneri
Lineage: Bacteria; Pseudomonadati; Pseudomonadota; Gammaproteobacteria; Enterobacterales; Enterobacteriaceae
Also listed under: 2 other names
Description: tRNA-Tyr
Rfam family: tRNA
About the family: Transfer RNA (tRNA) molecules are approximately 80 nucleotides in length. Their secondary structure includes four short double-helical elements and three loops (D, anti-codon, and T loops).
Source: RNAcentral
GUAUCGAUGGCAGAGUGGUUGAUUGCGACAGGCUGUAACCCUGUUCCGAAAGGCGCGUAGGUUCGAAUCCUACUUGAUACACCA